UGGAGAUUACGAAAGCAGGCGGGUCAACCGAGAUAAGUCUUAUCUCGGCUUCAAGGGUUGAAUUUAUCGUCACGCCAUUGGAAGCGAUGCUUCUUCCAGAGCAAUAAUAAUAGAGCCAUGCAUGCAAACGCAGCCUAGACGAGGCUGGGCCGGGACACCCUCUCGCGCGAUCGUGCGGACCCGCCAGUCAACUGGCCCGAACCGCGGCGUCACACCAUAGACAAGAAAAAUUAUGCAAAUGAUGUAGCGCCUUGGAAAGGCAGUUCAAAUCAAGUGGCUGCCUCUUCUCCUCCCCCUCCUCCUCCUCCCCCAUCCAAAUGAGAGGGAGAGAGAGAGAGAAGAGGGAGAGAAUUGGAAUAUAAUCACAAAUAGUAUGCGAGAAGUCCAUCCUUAUUUUUGAUUAUUUGAUUACAAUGCGCAAGUCGUACAACGCCAAAGGAAACGAAGAUUUGAAUUUUGUGGGAGAUCAUAUUUGAAAAUCGCGCAACUUCGCUUGGAAGUGGAUGUGUGUGAUGAUCAAGUGAGGACACGCGGCGUGGAGCAGAAGAGGGGAAGCAUGGGGGGGGAAUCCCUCUACGUGAUGGAAUUCUUUCACGAGGAUUACUUGGCGUGGACAGGAUGAGAUUUUUUUCUUUUUUUUUUUUGGUCUCGCCUUUCGUCACUCCACGUGAACUUUUCGGUGACCCGGCCCGAAGAGAUUCAAGUGCAGAGUUAUUUGGAGGACGAAAAGCAAACGUAGCCUGCUGUUUAGCAUUUCUGACACAUUUUAGCCGUUAGCAUGGAGUGAACAUGACCGUACGUUUCAUUGGGGGUGGGGGUAAGGGGGGGUUAUUUUUCGAGGCGUUUACAACGAAGCAAAGCUUCUUUAUCAUGUCACCGAGGAUGAGUUCAAAGACCCUUUUGGACGACGGCCAAAACAAGAAGCGUAUCUUUGAACAAUGUUGACGUGUAAGCUCUUCACAUCUAGCUAAAGUUAAGAUAGUCCUUUCGGCAAGCACUCCGGGACGUUCCUAUCUCAUAAUAAAGUUGAUUUUGAACGCUG
This is a long non-coding RNA of Hippocampus zosterae (dwarf seahorse), 1042 nucleotides long. RefSeq lists it as uncharacterized. The transcript is spliced from 2 exons. NCBI's taxonomy places the organism in Eukaryota, Metazoa, Chordata, Actinopteri, Syngnathiformes, Syngnathidae. The record is from RefSeq and is a predicted model, not a curated record.